Molecule: ribosomal RNA, 402 nt
Filed under: uncultured bacterium
Lineage: Bacteria
Description: bacterial SSU rRNA
Rfam family: Bacterial small subunit ribosomal RNA
Source: RNAcentral
UAGGGAAUUUUGGGCAAUGGGCGAAAGCCUGACCCAGCAACGCCGCGUGAGGGAUGAAGUAUUUCGGUAUGUAAACCUCGAAAGAAUGGGAAGAAUAAAUGACGGUACCAUUUAUAAGCUCCGGCUAACUACGUGCCAGCAGCCGCGGUAAUACGUAGGGAGCAAGCGUUGUUCGGAUUUACUGGGCGUAAAGGGCGCGUAGGCGGCGCGGUAAGUCACUUGUGAAAUCUCUGAGCUUAACUCAGAACAGCCAAGUGAUACUGCUGCGCUAGAGUGCGGAAGAGGCAACCGGAAUUCUUGGUGUAGCGGUGAAAUGCGUAGAUAUCAAGAGGAACACCUGAGGCGAAGGCGGGUUGCUGGGCCGACACUGACGCUGAUGCGCGAAAGCCAGGGGAGCAAACG